CCCUUCUCCCCUCUCCCCUCUCCCUCUCGGUCUCCCUCUCCCUCUCUUUCCACGGUCUCCCUCUGAUGCCGAGCCGAAGCUGGACUGUACUGCUGCCAUCUCGGCUCACUGCAACCUCCCUGCCUGAUUCUCCUGCCUCAGCCUGCCGAGUGCCUGCGGUUGCAGGCGCACGCCACCACGCCUGACUGGUUUUCGUACUUUUUUGGUGGAGACGGGGUUUCGCUGUGUUGGCAGGGCUGGUCUCCAGCUCCUAACCGCUAGUGAUCCGCCAGCCUCGGCCUCCCGAGGUGCCGGGAUUGCAGACAGAGUCUGGUUCACUCAGUGCUCAAUGGUGCCCAGGCUGGAGUGCAAUGGUGUGAUCUCAGCUCGCUACAACCUCCAUCUCCCAGCCGCCUGCCUUGGCCUCCCGAAGUGCCGAGAUUGCAGCCUCUGCCCGGCCGCCACCCCGUCUAGGAAGUGAGGAGCGUCUCUGCCUGGCCGCCCAUCGUCUGGGACGUGAGGAGCCCCUCUGCCUGGCUGCCCAGUCUGGAAAGUGAGGAGCGUCUCUGCCCGGCCGCCAUCCCAUCUAGGAAGUGAGGAGCGCCUCUUCCCGGCAGCCAUCCCAUCUGGGAAGUGAGGAGCGUCUCUGCCCGGCCGCCCAUCGUCUGAGAUGUGGGGAGCGCCUCUGCCCCGCCGCCCCGUCUGGGAUGUGAGGAGCGCCUCUGCCCGGCUGCG
This 714-nucleotide long non-coding RNA is filed under the name Homo sapiens (human). Its description in RNAcentral is "HSALNT0051391". The record is from RNAcentral. Lineage: Eukaryota; Metazoa; Chordata; Mammalia; Primates; Hominidae.